AGCGAACGCUGGCGGCAGGCUUAACACAUGCAAGUCGAGCGGGCGUAGCAAUACGUCAGCGGCAGACGGGUGAGUAACGCGUGGGAACAUACCUUUUGGUUCGGAACAACACAGGGAAACUUGUGCUAAUACCGGAUAAGCCCUUACGGGGAAAGAUUUAUCGCCGAAAGAUUGGCCCGCGUCUGAUUAGCUAGUUGGUGAGGUAACGGCUCACCAAGGCGACGAUCAGUAGCNGGUCUGAGAGGACGAUCAGCCACAUUGGGACUGAGACACGGCCCAAACUCCUACGGGAGGCAGCAGUGGGGAAUAUUGGACAAUGGGCGCAAGCCUGAUCCAGCCAUGCCGCGUGAGUGAUGAAGGCCCUAGGGUUGUAAAGCUCUUUGUGCGGGAAGAUAAUGACGGUACGCAAGAAUAAGCCCCGGCUAACUUCGUGCCAGCAGCCGCUGUAAU
Molecule: ribosomal RNA, 450 nt
Filed under: uncultured bacterium
Lineage: Bacteria
Description: bacterial SSU rRNA
Rfam family: Bacterial small subunit ribosomal RNA
Source: RNAcentral